This 222-nucleotide ribosomal RNA is filed under the name uncultured bacterium. RNAcentral describes it as "partial 16S ribosomal RNA". It matches the Rfam family "Bacterial small subunit ribosomal RNA", at positions 109 to 334 of the family's 1533-position model. The record is from RNAcentral.
AGUAAUGUAUGGGGAUCUGCCUGAUGGCGGGGGAUAACUACUGGAAACGGUAGCUAAUACCGCAUAAUGUCUGCGGACCAAAGCGGGGGACCUCCGGGCCUCGCGCCAUCAGAUGAACCCAUAUGGGAUUAGCUAGUAGGUAAGGUAACAGCUUACCUAGGCGACGAUCCCUAGCUGGUCUGAGAGGAUGAUCAGCCACACUGGGACUGAGACACGGCCCAG